UCCGGCUUAUCGCCGGCAGUUCCACUAAAGUGCCCAGCCAAACCUGACGGCAAUUAGCAGUAAGGGUUGCGCUCGUUGCGGGACUUAACCCAACAUCUCACGACACGAGCUGACGACAGCCAUGCAACACCUGUGUAGAAGCCAGCCGAACUGAAGGAGAUCAUCUCUGAUCCCCAAACUUCUCAUGUCAAGAGCUGGUAAGGUUCUGCGCGUAGCCUCGAAUUAAACCACAUACUCCACCGCUUGUGCGAGUCCCCGUCAAUUCCUUUGAGUUUUAAUCUUGCGACCGUACUCCCCAGGCGGUGUGCUUAACGCGUUAGCUCCAACACCGAGUAUCUAAACCCGACAUCUAGCACACAUCGUUUACAGCGUGGACUAC
RNAcentral lists this unclassified non-coding RNA (379 nucleotides) under uncultured Alphaproteobacteria bacterium. RNAcentral's name for it is "contains 16S-23S intergenic spacer region". The record is from RNAcentral. Lineage: Bacteria; Pseudomonadati; Pseudomonadota; Alphaproteobacteria.